RNAcentral lists this ribosomal RNA (497 nucleotides) under uncultured bacterium. Its description in RNAcentral is "partial 16S ribosomal RNA". It matches the Rfam family "Bacterial small subunit ribosomal RNA", at positions 28 to 507 of the family's 1533-position model. The record is from RNAcentral.
GAUGAACGCUGGCGGCGUGCCUAAUACAUGCAAGUCGAGCGAACAGAUGAGGAGCUUGCUCCUCUGACGUUAGCGGCGGACGGGUGAGUAACACGUGGAUAACCUACCUAUCAGACUGGGAUAACUUCGGGAAACCGGAGCUAAUACCGGAUAAUAUAUUGAACCGCAUGGUUCAAUAGUGAAAGACGGUUUUGCUGUCACUUAUAGAUGGAUCCGCGCCGCAUUAGCUAGUUGGUAAGGUAACGGCUUACCAAGGCAACGAUGCGUAGCCGACCUGAGAGGGGGAUCGGCCACACUGGAGCUGAGACACGGUCCAGACUCCUACGGGAGGCAGCAGUAGGGAAUCUUCCGCAAUGGGCGAAAGCCUGACGGAGCAACGCCGCGUGAGUGAUGAAGGUCUUCGGAUCGUAAAACUCUGUUAUUAGGGAAGAACAAAUGUGUAAGUAACUAUGCACGUCUUGACGGUACCUAAUCAGAAAGCCACGGCUAACUACGUG